CAGUAGCCGCGGGAAUGCGUAGGGUGCGAGCGUUAAUCGGAAUUACUGGGCGUAAAGCGGGCGCAGACGGUUACUUAAGCAGGAUGUGAAAUCCCCGGGCUCAACCUGGGAACUGCGUUCUGAACUGGGUGACUAGAGUGUGUCAGAGGGAGGUAGAAUUCCACGUGUAGCAGUGAAAUGCGUAGAUAUGUGGAGGAAUACCGAUGGCGAAGGCAGCCCCCUGGGAUAACACUGACGCUCAUGCACGAAAGCGUGGGGAGCAAACAGGAUUAGAUACCCCCGUAGUCCCUGUCUCUUAUAC
Molecule: ribosomal RNA, 301 nt
Filed under: uncultured bacterium
Lineage: Bacteria
Description: partial 16S ribosomal RNA
Rfam family: Bacterial small subunit ribosomal RNA
Source: RNAcentral